UCUCCGUAGGUGAACCUGCGGAGGGAUCAUUACUGAGUGAGGGCUUCGGUCCGACCUCCAACCCUUUGUCGUCCGACUAUGUUGCCUCGGGGGAGACCCUGCCUCCGGGCGGGUGGCACCCCGGUGGACCAAACCAAACUCUUGCGUAACAUGUCGUCUGAGUCGAUUUAAAAAAAUAAAUCAAAACUUUCAACAACGGAUCUCUUGGUUCUGGCAUCGAUGAAGAACGCAGC
This 233-nucleotide unclassified non-coding RNA is filed under the name uncultured fungus. Its description in RNAcentral is "sequence contains ITS1, 5.8S rRNA gene". The stretch from base 185 to 233 matches the Rfam family "5.8S ribosomal RNA", at positions 1 to 49 of the family's 154-position model. Lineage: Eukaryota; Fungi. The record is from RNAcentral.